AUUGAACGCUGGCGGUAUGCCUAACACAUGCAAGUCGAACGAGGUAGCAAUACCUAGUGGCGGACGGGUGAGGAAUACGUAGGGAUCUGCCCUUAAGUGGGGAUAACCCGGGGAAACCCGGAUUAAUACCGCAUGAUCUCGCAAGAGCAAAGAGGGGGACCGCAAGGCCUCUCGCUUUUUGGAGGAACCUACGUCGGAUUAGCUAGUUGGUGAGGUAAUGGCUCACCAAGGCGACGAUCCGUAACUGGUCUGAGAGGAUGAUCAGUCACACCGGAACUGAGACACGGUCCGGACUCCUACGGGAGGCAGCAGUGGGGAAUAUUGGACAAUGGGCGAAAGCCUGAUCCAGCAAUACCGCGUGUGUGAAGAAGGCCUUC
RNAcentral lists this ribosomal RNA (377 nucleotides) under uncultured bacterium. RNAcentral describes it as "bacterial SSU rRNA". It matches the Rfam family "Bacterial small subunit ribosomal RNA", at positions 30 to 419 of the family's 1533-position model. The record is from RNAcentral.